CCAAACGUGAAAAUUCUGCCAUAUUUUAAGAUAAAUGUUUGCAUCCCCUCCGAGUUCUCCUGGUUGGAUUAAGGGGCAUGUCCUGGAGCUGGAGCUCUGCAGGGAAGGUCUUCUUUGGGUAGUGCUUGGGAUCUUCCCUCCUUGGGACCUUCCCUACUUCUUCCUCUUUCUACACUGUGAUUGUCCACAGCAGACAUCCUUGUGCCAUGAUGGAGCCAAGGACUGAAAUUCCUUCUGUGCUUGGCUAGUUGGCAAAGACUUGAUGUUCAACAAUCAGAUGAGCCGAAGUGUUGAGGGUGAAAUCAGAGUUGGAAGGACACAGGACUUCAGCAGGACAGGGAUGAUGCUCCAGAGGUGAUGUCCCAGGCUCUCCUGCUCCUUCACUCAUGUUUUGGACUGCCAUGGGAUGUUUCCCUUUAUUCCCAGCAGGUAUAUGGCCAGCAGGGCAUCAGUGCAGGUGCAACUGCAGACUCCCAGAGGUGGUACAUGACAUUCCCAAGCAAAGCAGCUGACUCCUGGAAGGCUGGAGGUGUGGAAAGAUCGUUGCACAGCUCAGCUCUUCCUGCACCAACCUGUUCCUUCUUUUUGUAAACCCAUCACUGGAUGGGGCAAAAAUGCUCAGACAUCAAAAUUGAGGGAAGUGCCCUUGAAGUUGCAGCAGGACAUUCCCUGAUCUUUGGUCCUUGUCCCUGCCCUGUGUGUUUUGGGUGGAAGGGAGGCAGCAUAUUGUGGUUGUGUGUUGUCAUCUCCUGGGCUGCAAAGUCACCAAAUAAUUCUCUUGUGUCUCCCAUCCUGAGCACUGCUCCAGUGCCCAGCUGUGCUCCGUCAGGAGCCAUCAUGUCCCACACCACUGCAGGCUGCCCGUAGUCUGUGCUGUGCCCCAGGGGUGAGGACAUGAGGUGGAGACAGUGCCUGGGGCUGUGGGGGAGCUACAGAAAUUCCAUGUUUGUUUCCCAGAGCUCAUGGCUGCUGGGGCUUUAUACCAGACAAUGAGGCUGCACGCCCAGCAUGGUCCCUGCCAUAGGGACAAUUCCAAGGGUAGUCCAUCCUGACAAGGGUGAGGGUUGGGUGGAGACACUUCUUUAAAAUUCCUGCAGAAAAUCUAAACAUCUUACAUUUUAGGUUCUUUGGCUGCAGUUUUUUUCUGGGAAAUUCAGGGAGUAGCAAAGGGCAACAGGGACCAUUUGGACUGCCCACAGCUGCCACUAUCUCUGGCACAUUUACACACUGGGUCCUUAGGACUGUGUGCAACAAUAAAAGCAAUUCAUGACUCAGGAAUUACCCUGCAAAGACAUAUUUGCAGCAGAAGGUGAUUGCUGGCUACGUCUUCACUCCUGCCAUCAGAGUCCCCAGGGUGGUGCUGGGGAUAUCAGACCCUCCUGCUAAGGAUUUCCCAGUGGGAAGCAGUGGCAUUUUCAUGUCAGGGAAAUGCAGAACUCUGAAUGCAGCUGAUGCCACAUCUCAGGAAGGUUUUAAUGCCCUUAGUAUGAGCCAUCCCUCAGGGGCUGCAAAGCUGUUUUGCUUCCUUCCUUGCUGCUACCUUGCCUUCUCUAAAGCCAGGUGCAGAGAAAUGGUGCAAAUGAAAUGGAUUUUUUUUCUCCCUCAGUGUCAGUUAAUAAAUCCUUUUGAUAUGUGAACUCAACUUUUUCACAGCCAAAUGCAGGUUAAAAGCAGCUUUGUGCCCAUGGGCUGUGCCACCUCUGGGCCGCCAUCACAGCCCCAUAAAUGCAGUUAAUCCUUUUCUCCCAUCUUUCUUAUAAGUGGGAAUAUGGUCCUGUGUCUUCCAAACACAGCAGCCCAGCUGAUUUCAGAUCAGACCCAGCUCAGUCCAACUCACAGUUGCAAAGGAAAUACCAUUUACUACUGAAAAAAAACCCAAUUUUUGUAGUUCAGAUGCUGCAACCACCAGCAGCUUUGCCAAGAAAUUCAGUUCUUACACAGGAAAUGAGGCUCCUUUCAAAGCACCAAAGUGGGGCUAUAUAUAUACAGCCUCUCUGAAAAGAUAUUUAAAGAAGCAUAUUGACAUUAGCAAGAACAGGAAAAAAUAGCUCCUGGCUGUGGGGAGUGAGGGCUGAUGGCAGCUGAGCCCAUCCUGUGGGAGUGGGUGGUACAGGGAUUCAUUCAUGGCCCUUUCAUCUCCAGGAAAAAGAGCUCCUGGGUUUGGUGCUGUGUGAACCCCCAUGCUUUUGGUCUCCUGGCUUUUACUAGGAGCUAGAGGUGCUGGGGAUUGAAUGCAGCUUCAGCAGUGAGCACUGCCACAGAAGUCAUCCUGCUAAUUUUACACCAUCUGAAGUAGCUGAGCUAUCUCCAGUGUGAUAUAGAUCUCCAAAAGCUUAUAAGACCUGGCUCAAAGAGACCCCUGGCUACCAGUGAGACUAGGUAAAAAUAGCAUCUAAAAUUAUGGAAAUCUUGGAAUAAAGUAGCCACAGCUCAGCAGGGUUUUAUUAGUUUGCUCCACUGCCAAGCAACAAAGGAUCUUUUUCACCUCAAGACUCAAGUGCGUCACAUUGGGGCAACCUCAGAUACCCUUGAACCUGAGUUUAAUGGCCAAACCAUCAAACCAGCCUGGCAACCUCCCUGUGAGCUGAAUACAGCUAGAGCAACUCUGGAGCUGCCUAUUUCCUCAGUCCACAAUGUUCCCAGCCUGUGGACUGGUACUUUCUGCAUCGGUGGGAACAAAGGCACCUUUUUAUUGGAGCACCAAACUUCCACAGCUAAGGCGCAGGAGGGGAUCGGUGAGUGAGUGCUGAGCACUGUGGAGGGCACAGACUCCAGGACAAAGCUGAUGGACAUUCCCAGCCCAGCCCAUGGUUAGGACUGACACCCUGUGUUGGCCUGAAGAUGUUGUUGGAAGCCGUGGCCAGGAUCCGAUUCUACAGCAGAUACAGAGCUGAUUCCAUUGUCAUCACACAACACCAACCACAAACACAACCAACCUUUAGGACAUGCUCUCCAUUGGUAUGAGGCUUGGCAAGCUGGAGAAGUGUCCACCAAAGAAGGGACUGAGAUUCUGCAGUUUAAAAAGGCAGCUCAAUGUGCUAAGAGACUGUUCCAAAACAUUGAAGUUAGGCUGGAGGAUCUUUAAAGAUCAUCUGGUCCCAAUCUCCUGCUGUGGGCAGAGACAUCUUUCUCCAAGAUCAGGCACCAGGAAGGCUCUUUUUAACUGCUGGAAAGAGCACUUGGCAUCUUCCACACAAGCCAGAUACAGCCCUUAGAUCCCCAGCCUGAUCCUGGUGGAGUCACAGUUCAUCCACAACCUCUCCAUCCCACCUCUAAAUAAACUAAAUGCAACCUCUGCAUCCCACUGAAUAAAGCAUGGAUCACCACUCUGGCAUCUCCAUAGGCUUGGCAGCAGGUCACACUGCUGCUGGCCCUCAUCUUGCUGAUCCAUGGUCAUCACAGAAUCCUUUGUAUUGGGAAAUACCUCCAAGGUUAUUGAGUCCAGCCCGUGACUGAUUCCUACUUUGUCAACCAGCCCAGAGCUCUGUGUGCCAUGUCCAGUCAUUCCUUACAUACCUCCAGGGAUGGGUACUCCACCACCUCUGGGAAGCCCUUUCCAAUGCUGGACAAUGCUUUCUGUGAAGAAAUUCCUUCUGAUGUCAAACCUAAACCUCCCCUGGUCGAGCUUGAGGCGAUGCCCUCUUGUCCCAUCUGUUGUCCCUCUCAUCCUGAACCAUGGUUACCAAGUGUGCCAGCUUUAGGUUGCUCCAUAUGGACUACCCAGUCCAGCUCUACAACCCUUGGAACUGCUCAGGAGAAAAGUCCCACAGCACCAGUUAGUGGUGUGAGGACGUCUUCUGGGUCUUAAGGGAAUGCUGAAGUAGUGGCAGAGGAAGACUUUGACUUUCUGGAUGUUGAAGAAGUCAGUGUAUGCUGGAAGUGGCUGUGCCAGAAGAGGUGCUUCUGAUGCACUAAGUCAGUGAAGCCAUUGAAGAGCUCAUCUCUUCAGGUGAUGCUGUUCCCAGUCAGUGACCUGAGGGUGUUUUUCCAGCCAGGAAUGUUUUGUGCACUUCACUAAUGGGAAUGAAAUGUUCCAACAGUCUACAAGGUUUGGCUACUUCUGCAGAGUUAAAUACUUGUCUGGAGAGGGCAAAGAUGGGUAUUCCUAGGUUUGCUGAAUUUUAUGGUCACCUGGAACUCGCAUAGUCCAUCCUGUCCUGCUGGGAUUCAUGGAGCAGGUGUCUGGUGAGGCUGUUAACCCUUUCAGCAGCCUGGGGAAAGGGGAGCUGCGUUUUGGUGGAGCUCCUUCCAUCUUGUGGUUCCAGGGGACACUCCAUCACUCCAUACUCUGUCCCUGAUCACCAUGGUACCUUUGAUCCUUCCCAAGCACAAGGAACCCAGAAUUGUGUUGGGGUGAUGAAUGGGGCCAGUCCUAGACCAUCUCCUCACACAGGAGGGGUGAGAGGUCAUGGGGUGCCCUAGGACAUGGCACAGACAACAUUUUGGUGGGUGGGAUCCAGCCUAGAAUUUCUACUAUGCCCCACAACUUUCCUUCCUUGGGGGCGCCUUAAGAGGUGGGUUGAGCAAGAUCCUCUCCUGGCUUUACCCAUGUCCUCAACAGAAGGGCAAACUGCUCCCUUGUUUGUCUUCCUGGCUCUUGCAGUCCCACUCCAGCUCUUUUUAUAGCUCGGGAAGAAGUGCUUUCAAUUUCUGAGUCGGCUUGGAGGCCAAGCACACUGGGAGGAGUCGCAGCUAGAAAUAGGGCUGCACUCUGCUCCUGCAUUCCAGAUUUUUUAUUUUUUUAGCUGAAAUGUCCAAAUUUGAAGAGUCCCAUUGCCACAGGCACAGAACUUUUCCAUUCACACUAGAUCUUUUCUCCUUUGCCUUAUUUCCAGUGCCCUCACACCAGCCACUGAGCCCCCUCGGGAUGAUUUUCCCAGCAAAUGGGGUGUGUCAUCCCUGCCUGUGUUUUCUGUAACCCCCCGAUUUCACCCCUCAACACAGCUGUUUUGACAGGAGAGCUCCCUGAGGAAUUAGUAGUGUCUGGGGGGUGGAGGAGCAAUCAGGUACCAGCCAAAGCUUCUGAGUGGUGUGCAAAGAGCUCAGACUAAAUAUCCAGCAAUUUCUGCCUAUGGGGAGGGAAGCAAAGCUUUGGCAGCAGCAGAGACAAAAAAAAACAGAGAAAAAGAAAGAGGAGAAAUUGUUGGACAAAACCUGUGGUUUCCAGCCCAUUAUUAUGUGGGAUUUUUGCUGUGGUGCUAUACUGGGGCAGGGGCAUAUGGACAGAGCUGUCCUGGCAUAGCAUCCACAGCUUCCUGGGGUCGGCUCCUCUCUCCCAUAGGAGCAGGUAUAAUUAACUGUAUCACAUCUAGACUUUUCCAUUAAUCCUUUAAUACCUGGAUACUAUUGUGGGGCACACCCUAGCUGCAAUCUGCCCUUUGAGAGUUUUUUUAGUACAGAACCACUUUGGGUCCCUGCUGCCCCUGGUCUAUCAGCCUCCAGAGUGCCAUGUGUGUGCAUCAACGUCUCUGUGAGCUGGGAAUUGGAUAUGCCAGGGAAAAAUAGAUCUGGGAUCCAAUCUGAACCAAUCUUUUUUCUAAUCAGCCAUCACAUGGAAAAGACAAUUAGCCAGUGUCCCUGUUAGAUCUUUUAUCACUUUAACCCUUUUCCGUCCUUUUCUGCAGCAUUCACUAACUCUGGAGGUAGUUGCAAUCCAACUUCUCUUCCCAUCAGCAGGAAAAAGAAAUUUUUCGCAUGGUGGGAAUGCUAAAAACUAUGGAUUCCUAUCAGAGGGGUGAAGCCUGUCAGGCCCUUUCAUUGGAUAAUAAGCAAAUUUCAGAUACCCAUUCCCAGCACCUCCAAGGGAUUCUUUCUUUCCAGCUGCAGCAGGAAGUGCUGUGAUUUCUGCUUGGGGAAAUAGCAAGCAUGUCAUGAACAGGGUGUGUAGCCAUGGGUGAGGUCUUCUCCUUCUUCUUCCCAUGGGUAUUUCCAUCUUUCCAGCCCUGGAGGGUAAGGAUGGUACUCAGCUCCUUCCACAGCAAUCCCCAGCUGGUCCCACAGCCUGGGUGUUUCAGGACCUGGAUGUUUGCUUCUCCCCUGCAGAUGUUCCUGGUCCUGUGUUGAGGUUCAAUAUGCUCUUCCAGAAAGAAGCAGCAUUUGGAAAUUCCCUCCAAUUGUCCCCACAUGGAUUUGUUUCUCUGCCUCAUCAGGGUACAGCAGAGGAACUGGUCAUGGUGGUUAAGCUGUGCUCAGGGCUCUCUGGGUUGUUUCUGAUAAUAUCAUACAGCAGAUUUCUUGCAUGUUUUUCUUUAUUUAUCCAGAAAUGGGAAAAAAAAAAAAAGUCUCAAUUCCCUGAACAUCAAUGGAGCACAAAGGAUUUUCUCUGCAGAGGAAACUACGGCACUACUGGGUGCAGUUCCCACAGUCCUCGAGCUGGUGCCUGGCUUAGCCAUCCAUUACCUUCACUGAGGCCACUCUGAUUCCCGUGGCUUUAGUGUCCCAGGAGCCUUUUCCCUGUGUCACUCCACCCAACCCUGUCACCUCCCAGCAAAAUAUGUGUCUAGCAGGAGGAUGUGCCAGGGCCGGGGAGGGGAGUGGGGUGGGGAUAUGAGGACGAGGGUGCCCUGGGCUGGGCUGGGCUGGGCUGACCUUGCAGUGGCUGACAGCUGCUGAAUUGCUGGAAAAGAAGGAAAUUUGGUCUGUUUAGUGUCUCCCAGAGCCAGUUCCUUGUGUUUGGGUGUCCCACAUGCCCCUCUGCCAGUGUCAAUGGUAUUGUGUGUGCUCCUGUGAUUUGCAUUCGAGAGCAGAGAUUUCCCUCCCACAUUAAACCCCCUGUUUUCCUGGAACAACAUGGAAAUCCUGGGGCUGCCCUUCCCUCUGCCCUGAUGAACUCUAGAAGGGGCAUCCCUGGGGUGCAGAGCCCUUCAGGCACCCCUCUUCCCACCUUCAUCCUUGUGUGAAGAUCCUGUUCAUAGGGCCAGAGGAAGCAGGGGACAGAGUGGCAGGCACAGCCAUCCACGCCCAGCCCAUUCCACUGUGGGGGGAUGCCCCCCAUGCCAUGGGGAACCAGUGGCUCCCAGCAGAGGGGGCAUCUCCUGCUGCCAGAAAAGCUCCUGAUGGAGCUGCUUCUUGUCAUCUGCUUAUCCCAAGUGCUUCCCAUCUGUUUCCCCAAUGCUUCCAAUAGGCACAGGCAUGUUUUCCACACCCAGAGCUGGGUUUCAUGCUCUUAGUGCCCCUCCAGCCUCAGUGCUGGGGCUGGCUGGAGCAAGACAGUGCAACUCUUCUCCCUGGGCUGGGUGAGCCUAAGGGUGUGCUGGCAGUGCUCCAGCCAGUGGUGUUUAUUUCCACACAAGGAAAAUGAGGAAAACAAAAUAUUUAUAUAUCAGGAAGGGAUUUUACAGCCUUUUGCAUGGAAUCAUGCCUGCUAUUCCCUUCUCAAUUAUCUCAGACAGGCGGCAAUAACACAUGAAACACAGUUUCCUUUAUGCGUGGGGUUUUUCCACCUUGGGCUCCACCCUGGUCUCAGCAGAGAUCGCUGCUCCAGCCAUGCAGGCUCCCCAGGACCUUCUGACUCUUCUACCCAGGGGCAGGCAGCUUGCCAGGUGCUCUCAGCCAGGCAGAGUUAUGGGGCACUUGUGGGAGCAUCACCUGUGCAGGAGCAGCCAUAGGCACUGGAGAGGUGUUGGAUGUGGGAGCAGGGGCUACUAAAAGAGUGCAAGGAAUGCUUGAACUUGCAUAGCAGAGAAUCCCGGAGUGUUUUGGGUUGAAAGGAACCUUAAAGACCAUCUCACUCCACUCUUUGCCAUAGGCAGAUACACCUUCCACUAGACCAGGUUGCUCCAAGCUCUACCCAGGCCUGGCCUUGGACACUGCCAGGAAUGAGGCAGACACAGCUUCUCUGAGUGGCAGGGCCUCACCAUGCUCACAGGGAAGAAUUUCUUCCAAUAUCCCAUCUAUCCCUGCCCUAUGGUAGUGGGAAGCCAUUCCCUCUUGUCCUGUCCCUCCAAGCCUUUGUCCAAAGUCCUUCUCCAGCUCUCUUGGAGCCCCUUUAGGCAGAGGAAGGGGCUCUAAAAUCUCCCUAGAGCCUUCUCUUCUCCAAGUGAACAUCCCAAGGUAUUCCAGCCUGGCUCCAGAGCAGAAGGGCUCCAGCCCUCAAGGUUCACCCAUGGGGUUUCAUCCUGGCACUGGUGCAUAUGAGGGGAUGCCAGACAGGGAAUUUACCAUGUCAUUUUUAGCUGUCAUUUGGACACCUAUUUGCUCCACCGUUUCCCCCUUGGACUGAACUGGGCACCCUGAUCCUGCUGGGAGGGAGAGCAGCUCUUGGCACCUCUGCAAAUGUGCAGCUCUCCAGAGCACAUGGCUCCACAGCCUUUUGGGAAGCAGCUAUUAGGGACAUGGGGAGCUGGACAGGGUCUCAGUAGCUGGGGGGUGGGGGGAGAGAGCUGGGAAGUGGCUCUGGUGCCAAAGCAAGCAGCCAAACCUGUGGGAGCACUUGGAGGAGGCAGCAGUGCUGUGAACUGUCAUUGCCUGCUCUGCUCCAACCUCCCCCUGCAACCACACGGCACUUAAAUAGGAAUGAGCUCAGGGCUGGAAAGUGUCCCCACAUAUGUUGCAUAUUUCCUAUAAAUACCUCGACUGCUGCCUAUUAGCUGGAGGCAGACACAGCACCCAUAUCCCUCCCACAGCCCCAGCACUGCUGAGGGGGCUGCAGGCAGGGGUUGGCCAGGGGCUGGCCUUGUAGGAUGUGAUCUGGUGCAGGAAAAACACAUGCUGUGACAUUUCCCAGCCUAUUGCAUCCAGUGGUUUUACUUCAGGUGAUUUUGUUCCACCUCUGCUAUGCAUCUGCAACAAAACUGCUCACAUUUAGGACUUGUGGGAGGUGCUGAGGUGUGUGUGCCUGUUCUGGAGCAUCCAUGCAGCCUCCUGCUCCCUUGUCCGGGUUCACGGGGAUAUAAAGCUCAGGAGAAGGUGUGGGAAGCUUCUGGGAGGUGCUUAUGGGCUGGGCACUGAGCUGAGCGCCACACUUGGCAUUGCCAGGCUCUGCUGUCUCAAUUCAAGGGGCAAGCAAAAGCAGAUAAUUAAAGUGAUUCCUCUGAUGGGGCAAUGGAGGGAUCACCUAAGGCAAAUGUUUGGAGAUUCACAAGGGCCUCACUAUGCUUUGGGGGAGGGAGGAAGGCACCUGAGGGCAGACGCUGAAUGUGUUUUGACACUGUGCUGCUUGUGAAGCCUCAGCUCCCCAUUUAUGAAGCCUCCAGGGCAGAACUUGGCAACUCUAAAAGGAAAUGACUGGGAGAUGUGUUUUAUGGCUUCAAACUGAAAGAGAGCAGGUUUGGAUUGGGUGUUAGGGAGGAAUUCUACCCUGCAGGGGUGGUUGCCCAGAGAAGCUGUGGCUGCCCCAUGCCUGGAAGUGUCCAAGACCAGGUUGGACGUGGCUUGGAGCAGUGUGAGAUAGUGGAAAGUGUCCCUACCCAUGGCAGGGGUGGAAUGAAAUGGGCUUUAAGGUCCCUUCCAACCCAAAUCAUUCUGGGAUUCUAUGAUUUAUCAACCAUCUUCUGAGUCACUGGUGACACUGAUCCAAGUAUCGAAGGGCUGCAAGUAGAGAAAGGAGGAAAAAGUUGGGGGUUGUUGAUGGGGGGGGGGUCAGUGGACUCAUGGCUGGGGGUAAACAUCCCCCUGGAUGGGGAGAGCUGCUGGGGGCAUUGACCCCUGUAAACUUUGGGGCUUACAAGGUGGUGGGUGACAUUGGAGCCCAGGGAGCCGUGAGGGUCAGACAUGGCAGGGUGAGCCAGUUCCCACUGCUGCUGUCUUCUUUGCUGACUCUGUUUCCUUCUUCUGUGCGUUGGCUCAUCUCAGUGGUGUCAGCAUGAGGCAAGAAGGAAGUGACACCACAGCAGGGCAAUGUGUGUGUGCAAAGGAAGAGCCAGCCUGGGGUUCCCUAGGAGGGUUCCCAGAUAAUCUGCAUGUAAGGAUGGGGCUGCAGGGGACCCAGGAGACAUCUGCAAUGAUGAGCAAGUUGGCACAUAGAGCGUAAGUGUGCAGGUUUAAAUCCCACUGCCAUGAUUCACCUGUACCAGCCCUUUACCUCCCUCAUGGUCAAACAUUUCUUCCCCAUCUCUAACCUGACCCCACCCUUGUUCAGUUUAACAUAGUUGCCCUGUGCUGGGACCCCAGAGGUGCAGGCAGCUUCAGGGGGGUCUCAGAAGAUGCUUAGCUUUUUGGGCUGUCAGCACAUAUGGCUGGAUCAUGUCCCAUUUGUCACCCACCAGAAUCCCCCAGUCCUCUACACGGUUGUCUCCAUUCAUCCAUCCAUCUAUCCAUCCAUCCGUCCAUCCAAUCCAUCUGUCCGUCCAUCCAUCCAUCCAUCCAUCCAUCCAUCCAUCCAUCCAUCCAUUUAUGAAAUCAAUGAUGACAGAAUACACUGAAUCACUAUAGAAUCAGUGGAUCCAGGACAUGGAAGGCCUGCAAGUAGAGAUGACAGGACAACGCUGGGGGCCAUUGAUGGGAGUAAAUGGCCCCAUGGGUGGAGAGAGAUGCUGAGCUUGUUUAUCCUCACAGACUUCUGGGGUCCCUGCAGACAUCCCUAGGCUGUGCUGGCACUAGGGAUUGCCCUGGCCGAGGUCCAUGAUCUUGGCCUUGGCCUGACCGAACCCCAUGAGGCUUCCAUGGACCCACUGCUCCAGCCUGUCUAGCUCCCUCUGAAUGCCCUCCCUUUCCUCCUGCCCACUGAUGGCACCAUUCAGAUCAGUCUCACCCUUUCUAUGGGUUCCCAGCCCUACACACCAGGAAGGAAACAGGAGUUUCAUCUGCCUCUGGUUUGGAUGGGUGGUCUAUUUACCUGUCUUCUUGCAGCACUGACAGGAGCUGGAAGCAGCAAGGGGGGAGGAUGUUGCUUAUCCCACCUCUCUCUUUCCCUCUUGCAUUUUUAAUCCCGUUGGCAUUGUAUUGCUGCUCUCUGAGCUCCUGCUUACCUUGUAGCAACCCCACUGAGCCGUGUUCCAGAAGGCUGUGUGAUUGCUGUAACACCAACAAGGAUGGAUUGAACAGGAGCUAAAAAUACCAAAUGAUCAAUAAUGGCACCAUGAACCUGUCAUGCUAUUUUAAUUUUUUUUUUUUUAAGAAAAUCUCUAUAUUGACAGCUCAACCAAGUGGCUUCCUGUAAAGGCCGGAGAGAUAAUGGAGCUCAGCUCCCUGCUGGGCUGGCAGCAGCUUCACCCCCACCUCUCUGUCCAUGGCCCUGGGAGCCCGUCUGGAUCUCCUGGUGAUGUGGAAGGACUGCUCUCCUCCCUGCUUUUCAUGCUGGUCCAGUUGUGGCGAGCAGCUGGGGGAGCUAGGUGCUGAAAUAACCCCUGGUACUCCAUGCCAGUACAGCCCUGGGCACAGCCACCAGCCCUGGCCCUGUGCCUGCUUCAGCCUGAUCUGCUUUUUCCUCUCACUUUCACAUGCCCAGGAAACUGCAGCAUUACACAGAUUUGAAAAUGGCCUUGAGCUUUUUAGGCACUGCUCCUAAGCAGAUAUUUUUCCUAAAUAAAGAUUUGCGAAGGUAUUUGGGCAUUAGCCAGACAGGGGGAUUUCCAGAAGUGUUGGAGCAGCCAAAUACCCUUUAAAUCUGCCUCCAUGCAGUGCAGGGUUGAGGCUGGAAGUAGCUGGUUCACCAGGACUGUGACCAUUUGGGGACAUUUUUUACAUCAGCAGUGUCAGCAUGAGAGUUUUCCAAAGGUUGUUCAUUGAUGGAUCUCUUUGGAAAAUCACAGUGGGCUGAGCCCUGAGGGAUGUGGCUGUACUGUGAUAUCUGAGUCAAGAGAAACUAAUCACACCUCCAGUUCCUGCCAGUACUGUUCCAUCCCUGUAUCCUGACUAAUCCAUGAUGUGGUACUGGCAGUAGGGAGCAUACCUGGUGCAGGUGUUGAAUCUGUUUUGGAAAGACAUGGAACAGUGCAGGAAAGUCAAUCGCCGUUACAGUGUUCUAAUAUCCCACUCAGAGGAAAAACUCACCUUGCUGUCACCACAUUGGUGGCAAUGGCUUUUUUCCCCACUAAGGCCCACUAUCCCAAACACUCCCAGUGCCCAGCAUUCACCCCCUGCUCCUAAAAUGCAAGCUCCUUGCACAGCCAGUGCUGGUCAUCCAGCUCCAAGGACCAGACAACAAACCCAGCCUAACCCAGCCUCCACAGCAUAUUCCCCAAGAGAGUGCUCCAGGGCUGGAAAGCUGCUGGAAAAAACUGAAACCUGAAAAAAAAAGACAAUAAAUAGUUUUCCAAGUCCUUGGUGGUUUUCCCAGUGAACCUGCUAGUCUCCCUAGAGCUCUGAAAAUGCCAGGAUACUGGAGCUCUCAUAUCAGAACAAUGCUUCAGCAGCAUUUGGACAGGUGUAAGUCGUGGAGCCGGAUUAGUUUAUUGUGAGCUGGGGAGGUGGGUUUAAACUUCUGCUACACUGGGGGAGAUGGGAAAAAAAAAAACGUUCUCUGAGGAAAAUGAAUUUAGGAGUCUGAAUCCAAGGAGUUGGUUGAGCCAUGAUUUGGUUCCUUCCCUUGGGGUAGACUUGGGAAAUACAGAGAGAUCAAGAAGGAGCAACAGAUAUUAUUAGUCAUCCAGGAGGGAGGCGGCUGCAGAGGAAGAUGGUUUUUAGUGGAGUAUUUUUAGACCUGGUAAAAUGAACA
Haemorhous mexicanus (house finch) is the source of this 12595-nucleotide long non-coding RNA. RefSeq lists it as uncharacterized. The record is from RefSeq and is a predicted model, not a curated record. Lineage: Eukaryota; Metazoa; Chordata; Aves; Passeriformes; Fringillidae. The transcript has 2 exons.